This 1344-nucleotide long non-coding RNA is filed under the name Oncorhynchus mykiss (rainbow trout). RNAcentral's name for it is "lncRNA (ENSOMYG00000064370.1)". Lineage: Eukaryota; Metazoa; Chordata; Actinopteri; Salmoniformes; Salmonidae. The record is from RNAcentral.
AUGAGAUCGUCACAACGCGAACCAGCCAUAGGCAGUAUAGACACAGACACCCCGUCUGAUCCGAUACAGGCAGACACUUUCGGGAGUGUUUUUCUACAGUUGGCCAUGCUACUGAAAACAUGGGAACAUCAAAGGAUGUGUGGAGUGUGUGUAGUGGUCUGGUCCGCAUUGCUGCUGCUGUUACUGGAGGAGAAUGGACUGGGCUAUCAGUUGAAGGAGUCUUAUUGGUCCUAAUGGUCCUUAAUGUGAUGGAUGGCCCCCUUGACGAGGUGGAAAGGUUGGUCGGCCAUCUUCUUUUGGGAUCAAAAGGAGAGUUUUUUUUAGCUAAUCUUCUCCAAUGAGUAUUAGCCAGUACAUAUACAGUUUGUUUGUGGGUCUGAUAACAAAAGGCUUACAGCCCUUCAAAUGGCUAGGAUACAUACUGCGUCGUCUAUUUCCUGUCAACAUUCAGCCAGAAGGGUGCGUACAUAUCCUUAUCUAGUGUGUAGAGGAAGAACUGUUCACUUGAACUUUGACUUUGCCAACUUUGUCAUCAUGUCAGAGUUGAAGUAUGCACUCUCCUCAGCAAAGCGAAAGAAUACCUUUCUGAUCCAAUAGUCCAAUCUUUACUUACUUAGCCUAAUAUCAGGGAGCGUGUAACGCAAUUUCCAAUGGUGGCUCCAAAAGUUUGAUUUGAGUUUGUCGGAAAGUGACCCACAUUCUUUCAGCAACAGCGAGGAUGUCCAUGCAUGGAGAACAAUUCUGAAUAUUGUUAACCGCCUUGAGAGCUUUUGUCUGAAAAUUAAGAGAGGGCAUCACACACUCCAAUCAGGCCCAAAGAAAAAAGCGAGGGUGAAAAAACUAGGGGGAUUAAAUGCUAAACUCUCACACGUUCGCCGUUCGUACACAUAAUGACUUCUGCUGAGGAGAGAUGAGAUUAUUUCAACAUAAAGGAGAGGAGAGAGGAAAGGAGGGAGAGAGAGGGCGAGAAGGGAAGGAGAACUUCUUCAGAGGAGCCAGGAGGAGGAGAUAGGGCUGGGAAAGGUCUUGCGUUUAAGUGGAAUUAACAUGCUUUUCCAUUGGAGUCCAUUAGAUAAUCAUAUUAAUGCCACACAAGGCUCCAAACCCCCUCACUUUGAUUAUUCCCUUUUAAUCCACCCUGAUAAGGGGGUGCAGGCGUCGUCGUUUCAUUAUGUCGUCAUUUGGAAGCUGCAUGAGAUCCCCUCGGGACGUUAUCACAGGGAAAUUGCUUAAAUAGCCGAAGUGGAUAUAGUUUUGCGUUUAUUAUUUUUGACAGAUUCUAAAUAACUCUGCAAAUAUCCCUCUCUCCGACUAUAAGGGCGGGGGGGGGGGGGGGGGGGGCGA